UUGGAUGUGAAUUGAUUUAUGUUUGGAUAAACUUUAAUAGAAGUGAUUCUUAUGAGUUGAUGUUGUUUGGAUAG
Molecule: microRNA precursor, 74 nt
Filed under: Medicago truncatula (barrel medic)
Lineage: Eukaryota; Viridiplantae; Streptophyta; Magnoliopsida; Fabales; Fabaceae
Description: MIR5272 microRNA precursor family
Rfam family: MIR5272 microRNA precursor family
Source: Rfam by way of RNAcentral